Molecule: ribosomal RNA, 426 nt
Filed under: uncultured bacterium
Lineage: Bacteria
Description: partial 16S ribosomal RNA
Rfam family: Bacterial small subunit ribosomal RNA
Source: RNAcentral
UGGGGAAUAUUGGACAAUGGGCGAAAGCCUGAUCCAGCCAUGCCGCGUGUGUGAAGAAGGGCUUCGGAUUGUAGAGCACUUUAAGUUGGGAGGAAGGGCAUUAACCUAAUACGUUAGUGUUUUGACGUUACCGACAGAAUAAGCACCGGCUAACUCUGUGCCAGCAGCCGCGGAAAUACAGAGGGUGCAAGCGUUAAUCGGAAUUACUGGGCGUAAAGCGCGCGUAGGUGGUUUGUUAAGUUGGAUGUGAAAGCCCCGGGCUCAACCUGGGAACUGCAUCCAAAACUGGCAAGCUAGAGUACGGUAGAGGGUGGUGGAAUUUCCUGUGUAGCGGUGAAAUGCGUAGAUAUAGGAAGGAACACCAGUGGCGAGGCGACCACCUGGACUGAUACUGACACUGAGGUGCGAAAGCGUGGGGAGCAAACA